RNAcentral lists this ribosomal RNA (439 nucleotides) under uncultured bacterium. RNAcentral describes it as "partial 16S ribosomal RNA". It matches the Rfam family "Bacterial small subunit ribosomal RNA", at positions 339 to 795 of the family's 1533-position model. The record is from RNAcentral.
CUACGGGGCGCUGCAGUGGGGAAUAUUGCACAAUGGAGGAAACUCUGAUGCAGCAACGCCGCAUGGAGGAUGACACUUUUCGGAGCGUAAACUCCUUUUAUAUAGGAAGAAGAUGACAGUACUAUAUGAAUAAGCGCCGGCUAACUCCGUGCCAGCAGCCGCGGUAAUACGGAGGGCGCAAGCGUUACUCGGAAUCACUGGGCGUAAAGAGCGUGUAGGCGGAUUAAAAAGUCAGAAGUGAAAUCCUAUAGCUUAACUAUAGAACUGCUUCUGAAACUCUUAAUCUAGAAUAUGGGAGAGGUAGAUGGAAUUUCUGGUGUAGGGGUAAAAUCCGUAGAGAUCAGAAGGAAUACCGAUUGCGAAGGCGAUCUACUAGAACAUUAUUGACGCUGAGACGCGAAAGCGUGGGGAGCAAACAGGAUUAGAUACCCGUGUAGUC